CAGUAGGGAGGAAGGUAGUGUAGUUAACACCUGCAUUAUUGACGUUACCUACAGAAGAAGCACCGGCUAACUCCGUGCCAACAGCCGCGUAAAUACGGAGGGUGCGAGCGUUAAUCGGAAUUACGUGGGACGUAAAGGCGCAUGCAGGCGGCCUGUUAAGUCAGAUGUAGAAACGGCCCGGGGACUUAACCGUCGGAAAUUGCUAUUUAGAAACUGGCAGGCUAGAGUCUGUAGAGGGGGUAGAAUUUCAGGUGUAGCGGUGAAAUGCGUAGAGAUCUGAAGGAAUACCAGUGGCGAAGGCGGCCCCCUGGACAAAGACUGACGCUCAGAUGCGAAAGCGUGGGGAGCAAACAGGAUUAGAUACCUGGUAG
This 371-nucleotide ribosomal RNA is filed under the name uncultured bacterium. Its description in RNAcentral is "bacterial SSU rRNA". It matches the Rfam family "Bacterial small subunit ribosomal RNA", at positions 434 to 793 of the family's 1533-position model. The record is from RNAcentral.